Molecule: unclassified non-coding RNA, 200 nt
Filed under: Clavulina sp.
Lineage: Eukaryota; Fungi; Basidiomycota; Agaricomycetes; Cantharellales; Hydnaceae
Description: partial internal transcribed spacer 2
Source: RNAcentral
UUAAGUUCAGCGGGUAGUCCCACCUGAUUCGAGGUCAAAGCUGGAAAUUGGAAAUACAGAUCAAAAUAAUCUACAAAACCAGGUUUAGAAGCAACCCAAAUGGGGACUGGCCAUCCCGAAAGAUGUCCUCAGCGAUCAGACUGUUAUCACGCUGAGUAGAACCAGUUCCACACAAGGAUCAGCUAAUGCUUUUAAGGCCA